This 478-nucleotide ribosomal RNA is filed under the name uncultured bacterium. RNAcentral describes it as "bacterial SSU rRNA". It matches the Rfam family "Bacterial small subunit ribosomal RNA", at positions 335 to 799 of the family's 1533-position model. The record is from RNAcentral.
ACUCCUACGGGAGCAGCAGUGGGGAAUAUUGCACAAGUAGGGGGAAACCCUGAUGCAGCCAUGCCGCGUGUGUGAAGAAGGCCUUCGGGUUGUAAAGCACUUUCAGUAGGGAGGAAGGUAGUGUAGUUAACACCUGCAUUAUUUGACGUUACCUACAGAAGAAGCACCGGCUAACUCCGUGCCAGCAGCCGCGGUAAUACGGAGGGUGCGAGCGUUAAUCGGAAUUACUGGGCGUAAAGCGCAUGCAGGCGGCCUGUUAAGUCAGAUGUGAAAGCCCGGGGCUUAACCUCGGAAUUGCAUUUGAAACUGGCAGGCUAGAGUCUUGUAGAGGGGGGUAGAAUUUCAGGUGUAGCGGUGAAAUGCGUAGAGAUCGUAGAAGGAAUACCAGUGGCGAAGGCGGCCCCCUGGACAAAGACUGACGCUCAGAUAGCGAAAGCGUGGGGAGCAAAACAGGAUUAGAUACCCUGGUAGCACAGAG